Molecule: long non-coding RNA, 2395 nt
Organism: Eriocheir sinensis (Chinese mitten crab)
Lineage: Eukaryota; Metazoa; Arthropoda; Malacostraca; Decapoda; Varunidae
Exons: 4
Source: RefSeq, a predicted model, not a curated record
GCAAGGGAGAGGUGAGUGUGGUGUGGCAAGAGACAGGGAGGAAGGGGAGAAGUGAGAGAGGAAAGGAGAGGAUAGAAUGAAUAUGUAAGGGAAGAGAUGAAUGAGAAACAGAGGAGGGAAGCGUAGAGAAGAAAAAGAAGGGAAGGAAAGACCAGGAAGCAAGAUGAAGAGAAGGAUGAGAAGGAAAAGGAGGAAGAAAACAGAGUAAGGAAGGGUUGAGGAGGGAGAGAAAUGGAGGAAAGAGUAGAGAAAGGAAGGGUAGAGGUGUCAGAAAUGGAGGAAAGAGUAGAGAAAGGAAGGGUUGAGGAGAGAGAGAAAUGGAGGAAAGAGUAGAGUAAGGAAGGGUUGAGGAGAGAGAGAAACAGAGGAAAGAGUAGAGUAAGGAAGGGUUGAGGAGAGAGAGAAAUGGAGGAAAGAGUAGAGAAAGGAAGGGUAGAGGAGAGAGAGAAAUGGAGGAAAGAGUAGAGUAAGGAAGGGUUGAGGAGAGAGAGAAACAGAGGAAAGAGUAGAGUGAGGAAGGGUUGAGGAGAGAGAGAAAUGGAGGAAAGAGUAGAGAAAGGAAGGGUUGAGGAGAGAGAGAAAUGGAGGAAAGAGUAGAGUAAGGAAGGGUUGAGGAGAGAGAGAAAUGGAGGAAAAAGUAGAGUAAGGAAGGGUUGAGGAGAGAGAGAAAUGGAGGAAAGAGUAGAGUAAGGAAGGGUUGAGGAGAGAGAGAAACAUAGAAAAGAGUAGAGUAAGGAAGGGUUGAGGAGAGAGAGAAAUGGAGGAAAGAGUAGAGUAAGGAAGGGUUGAGGAGAGAGAGAAAUGGAGGAAAGAGUAGAGUAAGGAAGGGUUGAGGAGAGAGAGAAAUGGAGGAAAGAGUAGAGUAAGGAAGGGUUGAGGAGAGAGAGAAAUGGAGGAAAGAGUAGAGUAAGGAAGGGUUGAGGAGAGAGAGAAAUGGAGGAAAGAGUAGAGUAAGGAAGGGUUGAGGAGAGAGAGAAAUGGAGGAAAGAGUAGAGUGAAGAAGGGAAGAGGUGUCAGCAAGGUGGGGAAUGCUUUGUUUCACUCUGACCACUACUUUCACUGUCUGAGUACAAGAGUGGUAAUACUCCUCAGGCCUCCGAGCCAUUACAUAUUUACGUCCUUACAUAAUUCACAAAAUAUAAUACGCUAAUGCCUGUAAAAAGAACACAAAUUGCACCCAAUCAAAUCACUGUGUUGCACCAUAUAACACUAUUAUCACUGGGCCGCAUGGGGGCGCGCUAGCCCACACAAAGUUUAAAGCCCACAGCAGCGAGACGUGCAGCAUGACUGAUGAGAGAGUGAACGGAAACUGUCAAUGUUUUCUCGACCACGCUCAACUCUGUGGACGUGGAGAGUGUUGCCAAUCAGUUCAUUUCGGAGAGGGUGAGGAAACUUACCCUCAAACAAAAAAUGACGCCAUUGGGGUGAAUAUAACUAUUUAAAAGUAAUGUUUAUGUUCAAAUUAACAGCAAUGGCGUCCCAGUGCGCUUUGGCCCUAAACAAUUUUACACACCAUUUGAUGUAAGAACUAAAUGAUUCACCGAUGAUUUAUUGCCUACGUGUAAUAUUAUCUUGUAUUCGUGAUUCUGAAGUGUGAAUUUAUUUUGUAUUCGUGAUUCUGAAGUGUGAAUUUAUUUUGUAUUCGUGAUUUUGAAGUGAGUAAUUUAUUUUGUAUUCGUGAUUUUGAAGUGAGUAAUUUAUUUUGUAUUCGUGAUUUUGAAGUGAGUAAUUUAUUUUGUAUUCGUGAUUCUGAAGUGUGUGUUUCUUGUUCAAUACAGGUUUGACCAAAUAUAUUUAUUGCGUCAGAGAUAAGGGCAUCAUUCUACCAUCAUAGAUAAUGGCAUCAUUCUACCAUUAAAGAUAAUGGCAUCAUUCUACCAUCAGAGAUAAUGGCAUCAUUCUACCAUUAAAGAUAAUGGCAUCAUUCUACCAUCAAAGAUAAGGGCAUCAUUCUACCAUCAAAGGGCAUAAUUCUACCUGGCCGCCCCUCACCGGGCAGUCACACCCAUUAUAUUCUGGGUACACUUUUUUUUGUGUGUGUGGAUGUUGGAGGUGGUUUUGUAGAUCAUGAUGUGGAAAUUGAAGUGGUUGAUGGUUGGAAAGUGGUUUGACAGUGUUGUGGGUGAGGUAUAGUGGGUAUACUGACGUCCAGAACCGCCAAUUUUGUUAAGUAGGAGGCCACGUAAGGAGUGGGUGGUAGUGAAAUGGGUGUUGGAUGGUGGUAGUGGGUCAGAGUGAAGUUGGAUGAAAGCUACUUGAGGUGCUGACGGUCACACACGGCAAUUUUACAUCGGCAAUUUCUGUGCAAAAUGGGCCGCGGGCUUGGUGUGAGGUACUGAAAGUGUGGGUGUGAGAUGGUUGUUGGGGGUGUGUGGGUGAGAAGAGGGUGGGUUGU